UUUAACCUUAAUUUAUUUUUUAAUGUUUAUAUUAUUUGAAURWWWCWAUUCAAAUAAUAUAAAAAAUAAUAUAUAUAUUGACAUGGAUUAAACAAAGAUAUAUAUUAUUUUAUGUUGUAUAAACAAAUUGGCAAAAUAGAGAUGGAAGAUAAAAAUAUGGUCAAAGUAAUAAGAGUCUAUGGUGGAUGCCUAGGAGCUUUAAGGCGAAGAAGGUCGUGGUAAGCUGCGAAAAGCUUGGGGG
This 241-nucleotide unclassified non-coding RNA is filed under the name uncultured Borrelia sp. RNAcentral describes it as "partial contains 5S-23S ribosomal RNA intergenic spacer and 23S ribosomal RNA". The stretch from base 159 to 241 matches the Rfam family "Bacterial large subunit ribosomal RNA", at positions 1 to 83 of the family's 2925-position model. Lineage: Bacteria; Pseudomonadati; Spirochaetota; Spirochaetia; Spirochaetales; Borreliaceae. The record is from RNAcentral.